CCCUUAGAUGUUCUGGGCCGCACGUGCGCUACACUGAUUCAUGCAACAAGUUUUGUCCUUGGCUGAUAGGCCUGGGUAAUCUUUGAACGUGAAUCGUGAUGGGGAUAGAUGAUUGCAAUUAUUCAUCUUCAACGAGGAAUUCCUAGUAAACGCAAGUCAUCAGCUUGCAUUGAUUACGUCCCUGCCCUUUGUACACACCGCCCGUCGCACCUACCGAUUGAAUGGUCCGGUGAAAUCUUCGGAUCUGAGAGAUGUCUGAUUAAUUUCGGACGCCUUUUGGAAAAGUUGCUUAAACCUUACCAUUUAGAGGAAGGUGAAGUCGUAACA
Molecule: ribosomal RNA, 327 nt
Filed under: uncultured eukaryote
Lineage: Eukaryota
Description: partial 18S ribosomal RNA
Rfam family: Eukaryotic small subunit ribosomal RNA
Source: RNAcentral